Molecule: transfer RNA, 72 nt
Filed under: Williamsia faeni
Lineage: Bacteria; Bacillati; Actinomycetota; Actinomycetes; Mycobacteriales; Nocardiaceae
Description: tRNA-Cys
Rfam family: tRNA
About the family: Transfer RNA (tRNA) molecules are approximately 80 nucleotides in length.
Source: RNAcentral
GCGCGCGUGGCUGAGCGGUCCAGCGCGGGCCUGCAAAGCCAUUCACACGGGUUCGAAUUUCCGUCGCUCGCC